UGACUGGGAUGGCUGCAGAGUU
This 22-nucleotide microRNA is filed under the name Oreochromis niloticus (Nile tilapia). RNAcentral's name for it is "oni-miR-10630". Lineage: Eukaryota; Metazoa; Chordata; Actinopteri; Cichliformes; Cichlidae. The record is from miRBase by way of RNAcentral.